This 118-nucleotide ribosomal RNA is filed under the name uncultured Methanolinea sp. RNAcentral describes it as "partial 16S ribosomal RNA". Lineage: Archaea; Methanobacteriati; Methanobacteriota; Methanomicrobia; Methanomicrobiales; Methanoregulaceae. The record is from RNAcentral.
GAUUAUCGGCACGUGAUGGGGGAUCCAAGUGCCAGCGCAUUCUGGGUGUCGUUAUUUGUAAAUAACUGGUGAAGAAAGGGCCGGGCAAGACCGGCGCCAGCAGCCGCCGUAAUAAUAA